AAAAACCAAAUGAGUUAUAAAGAAACAGAGUAACAAGAUGAAUAUUACUCCAAAUAGAUCAAAUAUAUACAGGAUAUACAUAGAAAAUCAGUCAAAACUCAUCAAAGUUCCCACCUGACAUCCAAAAAAAUCAGCUAAGCAAAAAAUGCAAUAACUUACAUAUUAAAUGAAAUCAUGCAAGGUUUAGUACAAUGAAAAUUAGUUACUGGCCAUCAGAGUAGAUAAGGGUUAAAACUCACUUUUCAUUCCUUGCAAUUUCACCACAGGAGAUAACCAAAUGACCUUUUCAGCACUGAGAAGGCACUAAACUCAGUUAAAAGCUGAAAUUAAAUCAGUUCUAUACCCACUGUAAGUGUCCCCAUCUACAGCCAAUUCACCAUAUUUUUUUCUAAAACCAACUGUAAGCAUCAAUAUUAUGGAAUAUAAUCACCGUUUCAGCAGAAAAAUUGUACUAAUAUAACAUCUGUGAAAUAGAGUAACAGAAACACCCAUCAAAUAUGGUAUGAGUGUUGAUAUUGCGUAGAGAAGCUAAAGAGGGCACUUUGCAACUUAUUUGGAAUGCCAGAAACACAACCAGCCUUUCUGAACAGAGUCGGCAUAAAGGAGUGAAUAAAUAACUACAAACAAAUAUGUGUGUCUGAAAGAAAAAAAAUAUUGGCCGAUAUAGCAGACUUUUUAAAUCAGAAAAUACGGGUAUCUUAAAAGUCCUACAUCAGUCAGGCUCUAGUUUAAUGAUAUCACCAUGUGUGUAACUGGUAAAAACCAACAGCAUGAAAGGUCUGCUUGGUACCAGUUUGGUACCAUGCUCAUCUGUGACUUCUUCUAGUGGGUGGAUGUAAAAUUCAUUUGGUUAAGGUUAAAUGUGUUUUUGCACUCUGAUAAUUUCAUGUACUUCAUGUACUUAAGAAGUGCAUUGAGGUCUAAAAAAACGCUGUAAAAAAAUAAGGCGAAUUAAAAGGCGACUAAAUUUCCACCCGCUCCAUGUACUCAUUUCAGGUCUGUAAGUCAGAAAAUAUCCACAGUAUGAACAGAAAAUGUUGCAUGACUUCAUUUAGUAUGCUGAAGAUAUUGCACACAAAAAUAGCUUUUCUGGGAGGUUAAAUGAGAGGCAUUCACAGGUAUUUCAUGUAAACAUGAUUGCUGGUGAGCAACUUUUUUUUAUUAGCACACCCCCCUUGAUACAUUUAGAUUAGAGGCAUCACACACACUUGUAAACCUCACCUCUUUGUUCAGAUACUGAAUUAAGGACUAAACUGACUCAGCAAUGAAUCGCUUUUAAAGCUGAUUGGAAUGUCUCAAAAAGUUGUUUGUGUUAUUUUAUUGUGUGUCCACAAACUGUUGGGAAAUAACCUGUGAGAAGUAAACACUUUGCACUUGGUCAGUGUGCGUGUGUGUGUGUGCUUUAAACCUAACAAUACUUUUAGUGCUGAUUUUAUGUCUGUAUUCUCUAUUAAAAGCUGUCCUCUUGUGCGUUUAUCUCACGGAUAUGUUGAGCCUCUGUGAACCGGGAGCCCAACGGAGGAAAUUAAACUGCCUCCGAGAGCGUCACACUUCAUCAAAGUUACCAAAAAGCAGUGAGAGCAAACGUUUCAAAAAGAGAAUGACAGAAAAUGGCAUCAGCAGCUGCAUCAGUUAAUUGAAGAUUAGUGUGAUGAGAUAGCAGGCUGGCAGUGCUAAAGGCCAUCAGCUGUCUCCCGAAGAUAUUCAGAAUAUCGUAUUCAUUAGAAUAAUUCAGAUGAAUUCAUGGUGGCUUGUCAUGGUCAUACAAAAACAGACCGCAGCCAGCAGCUCAGUGCCAUAAAAGUGACAGGGUUACAGGAACGGGGCAGCGGUGGCCUAGAGGACAGAGGGGAACAUCAUAAGUUCAAAUGCAUGAACUGGAAAGCUCUGCUAAGAAUGUGCAUGAGAAAAAGAUAUCUUUAACUCUGCCUUUUGGAGUGCCCUCAAGCAGGGCUCUCCAUGAAAGGACUGCAACAGAGCUGGGCAGCUGUUUGCAGCCCAAGUGAAUGGGAAUCAGGCCGUGACAAUAAAAAACUACUUGCAUUUA
Long non-coding RNA from Astatotilapia calliptera (eastern happy), 2047 nucleotides. The record is from Ensembl. Lineage: Eukaryota; Metazoa; Chordata; Actinopteri; Cichliformes; Cichlidae.